UUAAGUUCAGCGGGUAGUCCUACUCGAUUUGAGGUCAAGUUGUCAGAGGUUGUCCGAAGACAGUUUGAAGCACAGAGCUCUCAAUCAGUCACCCUCUUCCGAGGUGCCGGCGAAGACACUUAUCACGCCGUACUAUGUCCAACCAAGAGUUGCACUAAUCCAUUUAAAGCGAGCCACGGUCAAGCAGCAGACGCCCAAGU
Molecule: unclassified non-coding RNA, 200 nt
Filed under: Sebacina sp.
Lineage: Eukaryota; Fungi; Basidiomycota; Agaricomycetes; Sebacinales; Sebacinaceae
Description: partial internal transcribed spacer 2
Source: RNAcentral